UAACAAUAAAGAAUGAUACAAAGAAGAUUAGCAUGGCCCCUGCACAAGGAUGACACACAAAAUUCAUGAAGCGUUCCAUAAAAAA
RNAcentral lists this small nuclear RNA (85 nucleotides) under Myotis lucifugus (little brown bat). Lineage: Eukaryota; Metazoa; Chordata; Mammalia; Chiroptera; Vespertilionidae. The record is from RNAcentral.